RNAcentral lists this transfer RNA (77 nucleotides) under Phenylobacterium sp. RNAcentral describes it as "tRNA-Arg". It matches the Rfam family "tRNA". From Rfam's summary of the family: Transfer RNA (tRNA) molecules are approximately 80 nucleotides in length. Their secondary structure includes four short double-helical elements and three loops (D, anti-codon, and T loops). Lineage: Bacteria; Pseudomonadati; Pseudomonadota; Alphaproteobacteria; Caulobacterales; Caulobacteraceae. The record is from RNAcentral. RNAcentral also lists the same sequence under 5 other names.
GGCCCGGUAGCUCAGCAGGAUAGAGCAGCGGUUUCCUAAACCGAAGGUCAGGGGUUCGAGUCCCUUCCGGGCCGCCA